This 510-nucleotide ribosomal RNA is filed under the name uncultured archaeon. Its description in RNAcentral is "bacterial SSU rRNA". It matches the Rfam family "Archaeal small subunit ribosomal RNA", at positions 1 to 517 of the family's 1478-position model. The record is from RNAcentral.
UCCGGUUGAUCCUGCCGGAGGCUACCGCUAUUGGAGUUCGAUUAAGCCAUGCGAGUCGAGAGUCCUCGGGACUCGGCGUACCGCUCAGUAACACGUGGGUAACCUGCCCUAUGCUGGGGAAUAACCUCGGGAAACUGAGAAUAAUGCCCCAUAGCCCACUACGCCUGGAACGGUGAGUGGGUCAAAGCCCCGGCGGCAUAGGAUGGGCCUGCGCCGUAUCAGGUUGUAGGGGGUGUAAAGUACCCUCUAGCCAUCAACGCGUACGGGUGUUGGGAGACAUUGCCCGGAGAUGGAUUCUGAGACACGAAUCCAGACCCUACGGGGUGCAGCAGGCGCGGAAACUUGGCAAUGCGAGAAAUCGUGACCAGCGAACUCCAAGUGCGUAGGGUAAGACCUACGCUUUUCUUGACUCUUCAAAGGUCUUGGAAUAAGGGGUGGGUAAGGACGGUGCCAGCCGCCGCGGUAAUACCGGCGCCUCAAGUGGUAGUCGCUUUUAUUGGGCCUAAAACG